UAUCGCGCGUUCGUCUCUCGUCUCUGUACCGACGACAAUGACCGCGUGUCGUGCAGCUUUCGUUUCGACAGCGUAGUCCGUGAACCGGUGUCCCGUAGCGACUUUGUCGUGACCGCCUUUGCUUGAUUGACGGACGUCGAGGGCGAAGCAGAGCGAAGAUGCUGCAAUGCGCUGCUUUGCCACAACAAGAGCAACACAGUAGGAUGACUAAAGGACGUAACACUUCUGGACGGGAAUUAUAUGUCGAAGAACUGUUUUGAAAUGUACAAUAACGAAGAUAUUGGCAUUCUCCUUGCACCAUCAUCUGCGAGCUGCAAAGGCUCUCCACCUAAAGUAUGACAAGGAAGCAGUAGACUCAUCAUUCACGAUGCUUAUUUUAUGUGCUUCCAAGGGAUGCGGCCAAAGGAUGACCUGCGGAAUAUUUGUGCGCUCGAUCGGCGCCGCAAUCUCCCGAGCAAA
This is a long non-coding RNA of Rhipicephalus sanguineus (brown dog tick), 459 nucleotides long. RefSeq lists it as uncharacterized. Lineage: Eukaryota; Metazoa; Arthropoda; Arachnida; Ixodida; Ixodidae. The record is from RefSeq and is a predicted model, not a curated record. The transcript has 3 exons.